Molecule: unclassified non-coding RNA, 262 nt
Filed under: uncultured fungus
Lineage: Eukaryota; Fungi
Description: sequence contains ITS1, 5.8S rRNA gene
Rfam family: 5.8S ribosomal RNA (bases 214-262)
Source: RNAcentral
UUUCCGUAGGUGAACCUGCGGAAGGAUCAUUACCGAGUUAGGGUCCUCUGGGCCCGAUCUCCAACCCAUUGUUUAAUCGACCUUUGUUGCUUUGGCAGGCCCGUCUUCGGACCGCCGGGGGUCUUCGGACCUUGGGCCUGUGCCUGCCAGUAGCCCCAAUCAAUUCUUUUUUUAACGAUGAAGUCUGAAUAUUCAAAAAUUAAAUUGAAUUAAAACUUUCAACAACGGAUCUCUUGGUUCUGGCAUCGAUGAAGAACGCAGC